UGGCAUCUGAUCUGCAAACCAAAAGUCAGGAACUUCUUCUCUUCCACAUUGGACCUGGAUACAUUUGAAGUAUUAUAUGAGCUAGUCUACAAGUAUCAAACUGUUUCCAAGAUAAUUCACUAUGGCUGCUUAAAUAACAGUGCAGAAGUUAUUUGGAACUUUUCUUUUUCUUGAGAUGUGAAACUCAAGCUUCUGAUGUAAGAUCAGGCAUCAAAAAGAAAAUGGCAGCCAUCAUCAUCUCUCUCUCUGUCUUACAGUUUCACACAGACCGACAAACUGUACACCCAAGAAAAUCUUGAUUUUAUAUGAGACUAAUUUUGAUCCUUAAGAUUGAUUCAAAGACACCUGCUCAAGAUGCAACUUCAACAACCAAAGGGAAGUCAGAUCUGAAAUAAUGUGGUAAUAAUCCAUUCAUCAAGUUUUUUUUUCCUUUUCUUUUUUAAUUUGC
RNAcentral lists this long non-coding RNA (448 nucleotides) under Coffea arabica (coffee). RNAcentral's name for it is "long non-coding RNA (CARA_LNC005355)". Lineage: Eukaryota; Viridiplantae; Streptophyta; Magnoliopsida; Gentianales; Rubiaceae. The record is from RNAcentral.